Molecule: non-coding RNA, 1170 nt
Filed under: Xenorhabdus beddingii
Lineage: Bacteria; Pseudomonadati; Pseudomonadota; Gammaproteobacteria; Enterobacterales; Morganellaceae
Description: bacterial LSU rRNA
Rfam family: Bacterial large subunit ribosomal RNA
Source: RNAcentral
GGAGCUGAAGCCAGUCGCAGAUACCAGCUGGCUGCAACUGUUUAAUAAAAACACAGCACUGUGCAAACACGAAAGUGGACGUAUACGGUGUGACGCCUGCCCGGUGCCGGAAGGUUAAUUGAUGGGGUUAUCCGUAAGGAGAAGCUCUUGAUCGAAGCCCCGGUAAACGGCGGCCGUAACUAUAACGGUCCUAAGGUAGCGAAAUUCCUUGUCGGGUAAGUUCCGACCUGCACGAAUGGCGUAAUGAUGGCCAGGCUGUCUCCACCCGAGACUCAGUGAAAUUGAACUCGCUGUGAAGAUGCAGUGUACCCGCGGCAAGACGGAAAGACCCCGUGAACCUUUACUAUAGCUUGACACUGAACCUUGAGCCUUGAUGUGUAGGAUAGGUGGGAGGCUGAGAAGUGCGGACGCCAGUCUGCACGGAGCCAACCUUGAAAUACCACCCUUGAAUGUUUGAUGUUCUAACGCAGGCCCGUUACCCGGGUCGCGGACAGUGUCUGGUGGGUAGUUUGACUGGGGCGGUCUCCUCCCAAAGCGUAACGGAGGAGCACGAAGGUUAGCUAAUCACGGUCGGACAUCGUGAGGUUAGUGCAAAGGCAUAAGCUAGCUUGACUGCGAGAGUGACAGCUCGAGCAGGUACGAAAGUAGGUCUUAGUGAUCCGGUGGUUCUGAAUGGAAGGGCCAUCGCUCAACGGAUAAAAGGUACUCCGGGGAUAACAGGCUGAUACCGCCCAAGAGUUCAUAUCGACGGCGGUGUUUGGCACCUCGAUGUCGGCUCAUCACAUCCUGGGGCUGAAGUAGGUCCCAAGGGUACGGCUGUUCGCCGUUUAAAGUGGUACGCGAGCUGGGUUUAGAACGUCGUGAGACAGUUCGGUCCCUAUCUGCCGUGGGCGUUGGAAGAUUGAAAGGGGCUGCUCCUAGUACGAGAGGACCGGAGUGGACGCACCACUGGUGUUCGGGUUGUCAUGCCAAUGGCACUGCCCGGUAGCUAAGUGCGGAAGAGAUAACCGCUGAAAGCAUCUAAGCGGGAAACUUGCCUUGAGAUGAGUCUUCCCUUACCCCGUGAGGGUACUGAAGGAGCGUUCGAGACGAGGACGUAGAUAGGCUGGGUGUGUAAGCGUUGCGAGACGUUGAGCUAACCAGUACUAAUGGACCGUGAGGCUUAACCUG